This 483-nucleotide ribosomal RNA is filed under the name uncultured bacterium. Its description in RNAcentral is "partial 16S ribosomal RNA". It matches the Rfam family "Bacterial small subunit ribosomal RNA", at positions 30 to 507 of the family's 1533-position model. The record is from RNAcentral.
AUUGAACGCUGGCGGCAGGCCUAACACAUGCAAGUCGAGCGGAUGAAGGGAGCUUGCUCCUGGAUUCAGCGGCGGACGGGUGAGUAAUGCCUAGGAAUCUGCCUGGUAGUUGGGGAUAACGUCCGGAAACGGGCGCUAAUACCGCAUACGUCCUGAGGGUGAAAGUGGGGGAUCUUGGACCUCACGCUAUCAGAUGAGCCCAGGUCGGAUUAGCUAGUUGGUGGGGUAAAGGCCUACCAAGGCGACGAUCCGUAACUGGUCUGAGAGGAUGAUCAGUCACACUGGAACUGAGACACGGUCCAGACUCCUACGGGAGGCAGCAGUGGGGAAUAUUGGACAAUGGGCGAAAGCCUGAUCCAGCCAUGCCGCGUGUGUGAAGAAGGUCUUCGGAUUGUAAAGCACUUUAAGUUGGGAGGAAGGGCAGUAAGUUAAUACCUUGCUGUUUUGACGUUACCAACAGAAUAAGCACCGGCUAACUUCGUG